GCUACGGGGGGCAGCAGUGAGGAAUAUUGGUCAAUGGGCGCGAGCCUGAACCAGCCAAGUAGCGUGAAGGAUGACUGCCCAACGGGUUGUAAACUUCUUUUAUAAAGGAAUAAAGUGAGGCACGCGUGCCUUUUUGUAUGUACUUUAUGAAUAAGGAUCGGCUAACUCCGUGCCAGCAGCCGCGGUAAUACGGAGGAUCCGAGCGUUAUCCGGAUUUAUCGGGUUUAAAGGGAGCGUAGAUGGGUUGUUAAGUCAGUUGUGAAAGGUUGCGGCUCAACCGUAAAAUGGCAAUUGAUACUGGCAGCCUUGAGUACAGGUGAGGUAGGCGGAAUGCGGGGUGUAGCGGUGAAAUGCUUAGAUAUCACGAAGAACUCCGAUUGCGAAGGCAGCUUACUAAACUGCCACUGACAUUGAUGCUCGAAAGUGUGGGUAUCAAACAGGAUUAGAUACCCCUGUAGUC
This 460-nucleotide ribosomal RNA is filed under the name uncultured bacterium. RNAcentral describes it as "partial 16S ribosomal RNA". It matches the Rfam family "Bacterial small subunit ribosomal RNA", at positions 338 to 795 of the family's 1533-position model. The record is from RNAcentral.